This 408-nucleotide ribosomal RNA is filed under the name uncultured bacterium. RNAcentral's name for it is "bacterial SSU rRNA". It matches the Rfam family "Bacterial small subunit ribosomal RNA", at positions 917 to 1344 of the family's 1533-position model. The record is from RNAcentral.
GGACCCGCACAAGUAGUGGAGCAUGUGGUUUAAUUCGAUGAUACGCGAGGAACCUUACCAAGGCUUAAAUGUAAAGCGAUCGGUUGAGAAAUCAGCCUUUCUUCGGACGAUUUACAAGGUGCUGCAUGGUUGUCGUCAGCUCGUGCCGUGAGGUGUCGGGUUAAGUCCCAUAACGAGCGCAACCCAUAUCGUUAGUUAUUAUGUCUAGCGAGACUGCCUUGGUUAACAAGGAGGAAGGUGUGGAUGACGUCAAAUCAGCAUGGCUUUUACGUCUGGGGCUACACACAUGAUACAAUGGUGUAUACAAAGAGCAGCGAUACGGUAACGUGGAGCCAAUCUUCAAAAUACAUCUCAGUCCGGAUUGAGGUCUGCAACUCGACCUCAUGAAGUUGGAAUUGCUAGUAAUCG